RNAcentral lists this ribosomal RNA (253 nucleotides) under uncultured bacterium. Its description in RNAcentral is "partial 16S ribosomal RNA". It matches the Rfam family "Bacterial small subunit ribosomal RNA", at positions 524 to 776 of the family's 1533-position model. The record is from RNAcentral.
UACGUAGGGUGCGAGCGUUAAUCGGAAUUACUGGGCGUAAAGCGUGCGCAGGCGGCGCGUUAAGACAGGUGUGAAAGCCCCGGGCUCAACCUGGGAAUUGCGAUGGAGACUGCAAGGCUUGAAUCUGGCAGAGGGGGGUAGAAUUCCACGUGUAGCAGUGAAAUGCGUAGAGAUGUGGAGGAACACCGAUGGCGAAGGCAGCCCCCUGGGUCAAGAUUGACGCUCAUGCACGAAAGCGUGGGGAGCAAACAGG